Molecule: ribosomal RNA, 470 nt
Filed under: Salmonella enterica
Lineage: Bacteria; Pseudomonadati; Pseudomonadota; Gammaproteobacteria; Enterobacterales; Enterobacteriaceae
Also listed under: 1 other name
Description: bacterial SSU rRNA
Rfam family: Bacterial small subunit ribosomal RNA
Source: RNAcentral
AAAUUGAAGAGUUUGAUCAUGGCUCAGAUUGAACGCUGGCGGCAGGCCUAACACAUGCAAGUCGAACGGUAACAGGAAGCAGCUUGCUGCUUUGCUGACGAGUGGCGGACGGGUGAGUAAUGUCUGGGAAACUGCCUGAUGGAGGGGGAUAACUACUGGAAACGGUGGCUAAUACCGCAUAACGUCGCAAGACCAAAGAGGGGGACCUUCGGGCCUCUUGCCAUCAGAUGUGCCCAGAUGGGAUUAGCUGGUUGGUGAGGUAACGGCUCACCAAGGCGACGAUCCCUAGCUGGUCUGAGAGGAUGACCAGCCACACUGGAACUGAGACACGGUCCAGACUCCUACGGGAGGCAGCAGUGGGGAAUAUUGCACAAUGGGCGCAAGCCUGAUGCAGCCAUGCCGCGUGUAUGAAGAAGGCCUUCGGGUUGUAAAGUACUUUCAGCGGGGAGGAAGGUGUUGUGGUUAAUAAC